CAAGAAAUAGUUUAUUAAAAAUAUUAAUUUUGGGGAUUAAAGUUAUUGUAUUUUAAUUUUCUUGA
RNAcentral lists this transfer RNA (65 nucleotides) under Lasioglossum minutissimum. RNAcentral describes it as "tRNA-Pro". The record is from RNAcentral. Lineage: Eukaryota; Metazoa; Arthropoda; Insecta; Hymenoptera; Halictidae.